Molecule: unclassified non-coding RNA, 352 nt
Filed under: soil metagenome
Description: partial contains 5.8S ribosomal RNA, internal transcribed spacer 2, and large subunit ribosomal RNA
Rfam family: 5.8S ribosomal RNA (bases 1-120)
Source: RNAcentral
GAUGAAGAACGUAGCGAAAUGCGAUAAGUAAUGUGAAUUGCAGAAUUCAGUGAAUCAUCGAAUCUUUGAACGCACAUUGCGCCCGCCAGUAUUCUGGCGGGCAUGCCUGUUCGAGCGUCAUUACAACCCUCAGGCCCCCGGGCCUGGCGUUGGGGAUCGGCGGAGCCCCCCGUGGGCACACGCCGUCCCCCAAAUGCAGUGGCGGUCCCGCCGCAGCUUCCAUCGCGUAGUAGCUAACACCUCGCGACUGGAGAGCGGCGCGGCCACGCCGUAAAACACCCAACUCUUCUGAAGUUGACCUCGAAUCAGGUAGGAAUAUCCGCUGAACUUAAGCAUAUCAAUAAGCGGAGGA